UACGGAGGGGGCUAGCGUUGUCCGAAUUUACUGGGCGUAAAGCGCGCGUAGGCGGGUUGGUAAGUCCGCUGUGAAAGCCCGGAGCUUAACUCCGGAGGGUCGGUGGAUACUGCCAGUCUUGAAGGUGCUAGGGGGAGAUGGAAUUACCGGUGUAGCGGUGAAAUGCGUAGAUAUCGGUAGGAACACCAGUGGCGAAGGCGGUCUCCUGGGGCAGUCUUGACGCUGAGGCGCGAAAGCUGGGGGAGCAAACGGG
This 253-nucleotide ribosomal RNA is filed under the name uncultured bacterium. Its description in RNAcentral is "partial 16S ribosomal RNA". It matches the Rfam family "Bacterial small subunit ribosomal RNA", at positions 524 to 776 of the family's 1533-position model. The record is from RNAcentral.